CCCCUCACAAAAAUGAUUGCUGGCGGCUGUGUUCUUACACUGACUGUACAAAACGGGGAGGCAGAGCAAGCCUACUCCAUGCACGCCUCAGCUCAGCCUUGUGCCUGGUCUGUGUUGUGAAAGGGGGACGUGG
Molecule: small nucleolar RNA, 133 nt
Organism: Cynocephalus volans (Philippine flying lemur)
Lineage: Eukaryota; Metazoa; Chordata; Mammalia; Dermoptera; Cynocephalidae
Product: small nucleolar RNA SNORA51
Exons: 1
Source: RefSeq, a predicted model, not a curated record